UCUAUGACUUUAUUAGGAAAUAUAAUGUGGGAACAAUACAGAGAAGAUUAGCAUGGCCCAUGUGCAAGGAUGACAAUCUCCUUUAUUGACAAUGUCUGCCCUUCU
Small nuclear RNA from Ictidomys tridecemlineatus (thirteen-lined ground squirrel), 105 nucleotides. NCBI's taxonomy places the organism in Eukaryota, Metazoa, Chordata, Mammalia, Rodentia, Sciuridae. The record is from Ensembl.